AUGGGGGCGAGGGCCCAAGCUCAUAGGGGAAAGGCCCAGGGCCCUAGGGGCAAGGGUCCAGGGUUGUGGGGACAAGGGCCCAGGGCCACAGGGCAGGGUCCAGGGUCACAGGGUCAUACGGACAAGCCCCAGGGCCCUAGGGGCAAGGACCCAGGGUCACAGGGGCAAGGGCCCAGGGCCACAGGGCAAGGGUCCAGGGUCACAGGGGCAAGGGCCACAGGGGCAAGGGUCAUAGGGACAAGCCCCAGGGCCCUAGGGGCAAGGACCCAGGGUCACAGGGGCAAGGGCCCAGGGUCCCGGGGGCAAGGGUCCAGGGUCAUGGGUACAAGGCCCAGGGCCCUAGGGACGAGGGCCCAGGGUCACGGGGGCAAGGGUCCAGGGUCACAGGGCAAGGGUCCAGGGUCACAGGGCAAGGCCCCAGGAUGCAGGGAGUUAGGAGGGAGAAGGGGAGGGAACAGGGAGGGGACCCACGUGCAGGAGCUCAGGCAGAGGCCACCAUGUGGUGUGGCCCAUGUCACAGUGGUGUGGGCUGUGGCUGUCAACCUCAGAGCCAUUAGUGCAGAGAAGGGGACCUACCGGCUGGAGCGCAGAGAGGAAGCAGAAGUGACACCAGCGUGUGUGUGUCCCCGGCUGCCACGUCCCCGGCGAACGGGGUUCAGGAUGGAGCCUGGGAGCGCCCCGGCCCCUAACAGGAAAGGCCCCCCUGGGGCGCUGGCUGGGCCAGAGCCAGACCGAGCCGGCAGGAGAGGACCAGUAGCGCCGGGGGCGACCUGCGUCCUUCCCGCCCGCUGGGUUUGCGGGCAGCCUCCGCACGGGGCGUGGGUGAGCACACAAGGCCUGAGCCGGCAGAGGGGCUUGUGGGUACUAGGGCUGCUGCAGCCCUGGGUUGAGACCAGGACCCCGAUCCUCCCACACAGGGGCCCCCGGUGCUCACGCUGCGGCCGCUGGGGCCGGCGGGGCGGGGAGGAGAUGCACCUGGAGUUCUUGGAGCCGAGUGGCUCGGACUCGGAGAGCUGUGGCUGUUGGCCGGGCUGGUGGAAGAGAUCUGCGUUGUCCUCCUGA
RNAcentral lists this long non-coding RNA (1062 nucleotides) under Felis catus (domestic cat). Its description in RNAcentral is "lncRNA (ENSFCAG00000046983.1)". The record is from RNAcentral. Lineage: Eukaryota; Metazoa; Chordata; Mammalia; Carnivora; Felidae.